AGGUUGCGGGGCGCAGCGAGUGCAUCACACGGGCAUCGGCAGGCGCUCUGAGCAAACCGUUCCCUCACCGGCUGCAAAAUGUCGUCUCCGUGCUGCGAUGUUUGCAAGGAUACCUGCAAGGAGGAAGAAAAAUGUGGAAAGGAGUGCAAGUGUCCUGAGAGCUGUAAAUGUUGCCAGUCAGGGAAGGAUGAUACAAAGGGCAGCCAGUGUGAGUGCAAACAGGGUGAAAAUGCUCCAUGUGUGUGUCCUGAGAACAGCUGCAAAUGUGAAUGAAUAACCUUAAUCAUCAGCCAGUGUUUCACCUACAGUACCACUAUUUAAGACUUGUCCUGUGUUAUAAAUUAUUUUAAUUAUGUCCCUGAAGAACAAUAAAACAUAUGUACAGUGAAA
Molecule: long non-coding RNA, 390 nt
Organism: Schistocerca gregaria
Lineage: Eukaryota; Metazoa; Arthropoda; Insecta; Orthoptera; Acrididae
Exons: 3
Source: RefSeq, a predicted model, not a curated record